GUUGGGAGAUAAAAUAUUUAUAUAACUUUCCUGUUAUGUUCAAUCAUCACAGUACUACAGGUUUUUUUCUUUUCUUUUUUUUUUUUUUUUUUUUUUUUUUUUUUUUUUUGUCCUGGCUCUUCUUCAGGAACAUCAUCAUAUCAGGAACAGAAGGAUUCAAUCUGGCUUCAAGGAAAGGAAUUCAGCACUUUUCUCAAGAAAAUGGUGAUUGACAAAAUUAUCCUAAAGGUAGAGAAAUCCUGGAUUCCACUUCAUGUUUGUCUCAUCUGCCAGUGUGGGGAAGAAUCAAGAAAAGAAUUCAAGAGACAAUUUUGACACACACACGUAUCUCUAUGGCAACAUGAAACCUCCCAUAGAUAUGCCUGGAGCCGAAGCAUGGGUUUGGAUUGGGUUUGGGUCAACUCUGAGUCAAGAAGAUAUUAGGUCAUAUGGGAUUCCUGAUUCUUAUUUUAAAAUGUAAUCAAGACGUAGGCAUGAUAAAACAGUAUUUUGUAGGUUCCAGCAGAGAGAAAGUAAAAUAAUGGAAGGAAGAAAAAGGAAAAAAAGGAAAAGAAAAGUUUUUUAAAAAAUGUUUAGCCUUUGAUGUAAUCAUAGAUUAGUGACCUGCACAUUAAAUAAAAAUCUAUAGUAUACUCAUUU
This 639-nucleotide long non-coding RNA is filed under the name Pan troglodytes (chimpanzee). Its description in RNAcentral is "lncRNA (ENSPTRG00000054637.1)". The record is from RNAcentral. Lineage: Eukaryota; Metazoa; Chordata; Mammalia; Primates; Hominidae.